RNAcentral lists this long non-coding RNA (298 nucleotides) under Capra hircus (goat). RNAcentral describes it as "lncRNA (ENSCHIG00000001683.1)". The record is from RNAcentral. Lineage: Eukaryota; Metazoa; Chordata; Mammalia; Artiodactyla; Bovidae.
UUUUGGAAAUUCUUGCUCUGUAUGAGUCCCAGUGCAAGACCAAACUCCACGUAGAUCUUCUCUUUGAAGCAGAUAUAAGUGGAGCACCUGUUAUGAGCCCAGCAGCACAAGGGUAACCAGGAGAGUUCCCGUCCAGAAGUUACUGGAUCAGGCACUUCUCCCAACCAUGAGCGUCACAAUGCCUGCUUCCAAGGACUGAGAGAGUCUUAGGCUGGUUUGCAGCCCACGCAGCAGUAGAUGAUAGACUGACCUUGAAAGAUGAGCAAAGAAGUGAUGGCUUCACUGGUGUUGGACCACA